RNAcentral lists this ribosomal RNA (500 nucleotides) under uncultured bacterium. RNAcentral describes it as "partial 16S ribosomal RNA". It matches the Rfam family "Bacterial small subunit ribosomal RNA", at positions 30 to 523 of the family's 1533-position model. The record is from RNAcentral.
AUUGAACGCUGGCGGCAUGCCUUACACAUGCAAGUCGAACGGCAGCACGGGAGCAAUCCUGGUGGCGAGUGGCGAACGGGUGAGUAAAGUAUCGGAACGUGCCCAGUCGUGGGGGAUAACGUAGCGAAAGUUACGCUAAUACCGCAUACGACCUAUGGAUGAAAGCGGGGGAUCGCAAGACCUCGCGCGAUUGGAGCGGCCGAUAUCAGAUCAGGUAGUUGGUGGGGUAAAGGCUCACCAAGCCGACGAUCUGUAGCUGGUCUGAGAGGACGACCAGCCACAGUGGGACUGAGACACGGCCCAGACUCCUACGGGAGGCAGCAGUGGGGAAUUUUGGACAAUGGGCGAAAGCCUGAUCCAGCCAUGCCGCGUGCAGGAUGAAGGCCUUCGGGUUGUAAACUGCUUUUGUACGGAACGAAAAGGUUUGGCCUAAUAAGCUGAGCUCAUGACGGUACCGUAAGAAUAAGCACCGGCUAACUACGUGCCAGCCGCCGCGGUAA